AGAGUUUGAUCCUGGCUCAGAACGAACGCUGGCGGCGUGCCUAACACAUGCAAGUCGAGCGAGAAAGUCCCCGCAAGGGGAUGAGUAAAGCGGCGAACGGGUGAGUAACACGUGGGCAACCUGCCCUUCAGUCGGGAAUAACCCAUCGAAAGGUGGGCUAAUACCGGAUAAUGUCCUUUGGGGGCAUCUUCGGAGGACCAAAGGGGGCGAGCGAAAGCGGCUCCCGCUGAGGGAUGGGCCUGCGGCUGAUUAGCUAGUUGGUGGGGUAGCGGCCUACCAAGGCAACGAUCAGUAGCCGACCUGAGAGGGUGACCGGCCACACUGGGACUGAGACACGGCCCAGACUCCUACGGGAGGCAGCAGUGGGGAAUAUUGCGCAAUGGGCGAAAGCCUGACGCAGCGACGUCGCGUGGGUGAUGAAGGCCUUCGGGUCGUAAAACCCUGUCGGGUGGAACGAAUCUCCUUUUCUCUAAUACAGGAGAGGAUUGACGGUACCACCGAAGGAAGCCCCGGCUAACUACGUGCCAGCAGCCGCGGUAAUACGUAGGGGGCGAGCGUUGUUCGGAUUUACUGGGCGUAAAGAGCGCGUAGGUGGUUCGAUGAGUCGGAUGUGAAAUCCCUCGGCUCAACCGAGGACCCGCGUCCGAUACUGUCGAACUUGAGUGCAGGAGAGGAGAGCGGAAUUCCCAGUGUAGCGGUGAAAUGCGUAGAUAUUGGGAGGAACACCGGUGGCGAAGGCGGCUCUCUGGACUGUCACUGACACUGAGGCGCGAAAGCUAGGGGAGCAAACGGGGAUUAGA
This 800-nucleotide ribosomal RNA is filed under the name uncultured bacterium. RNAcentral describes it as "bacterial SSU rRNA". It matches the Rfam family "Bacterial small subunit ribosomal RNA", at positions 8 to 782 of the family's 1533-position model. The record is from RNAcentral.